This 377-nucleotide ribosomal RNA is filed under the name uncultured bacterium. RNAcentral describes it as "bacterial SSU rRNA". It matches the Rfam family "Bacterial small subunit ribosomal RNA", at positions 521 to 896 of the family's 1533-position model. The record is from RNAcentral.
UAAUACAGAGGGGGCAAGCGUUGUUCGGAAUUACUGGGCGUAAAGGGCGCGUAGGCGGCCGCCUAAGUCAGACGUGAAAUCCCUCGGCUCAACCGGGGAACUGCGUCUGAUACUGGGUGGCUUGAAUUCGGGAGAGGGAUGCGGAAUUCCAGGUGUAGCGGUGAAAUGCGUAGAUAUCUGGAGGAACACCGGUGGCGAAGGCGGCAUCCUGGACCGACACUGACACUGAGGAGCGAAAGCCAGGGGAGCAAACGGGAUUAGAUACCCCGGUAGUCCUGGCCCUAAACGAUGAAUGCUUGGUGUGGCGGGUAUCGAUCCCUGCCGUGCCGAAGCUAACGCAUUAAGCAUUCCGCCUGGGGAGUACGGUCGCAAGGCUG